RNAcentral lists this ribosomal RNA (249 nucleotides) under uncultured prokaryote. RNAcentral's name for it is "partial 16S ribosomal RNA". It matches the Rfam family "Bacterial small subunit ribosomal RNA", at positions 524 to 772 of the family's 1533-position model. The record is from RNAcentral.
UACGGAGGAUGCAAGCGUUAUCCGAAUUUAUUGGGUUUAAAGGGUGCGUAGGCGGAUAUGUAAGUCAGCGGUGAAACUCACAGGCUCAACCUGUGCCGUGCCGUUGAAACUGUGUAUCUGGAAUGCGGAUGCUGUGGGAGGAAUGUGUAGUGUAGCGGUGAAAUGCAUAGAUAUUACACAGAACACCGAUUGCGAAGGCAUCUCACAAAGCCGUUAUUGACGCUGAGGCACGAAAGUGUGGGGAUCAAA